Molecule: long non-coding RNA, 293 nt
Organism: Hyalella azteca
Lineage: Eukaryota; Metazoa; Arthropoda; Malacostraca; Amphipoda; Hyalellidae
Exons: 2
Source: RefSeq, a predicted model, not a curated record
GUAUGCUUCUCUUAUCAAGAUGCAUUUGGAUUAAAACAGGAUGUUUCAUCAUGAGGCAAAAUGAAACUAGCACUCAGGACUAUUCCAAGGAAGAUGAGGCAGCCUAAUACUGCUUCAAGUAUAUUCCUCUUUAUGAUUGUCAAAUGAACUGUGGUCCCUGAAGGCUGCACACUUCAGGAGCGUCAGGCACCAUAUCAACAUGGCAAUAUUAAGAAGAAAGCUGUGGCACAAAUUGACACCUCUUAUUUCUCGCUAUUUCAUGUCUGCAUUCAUACUGUAAUUUAAAUUGUCUU